This 564-nucleotide long non-coding RNA is filed under the name Capsicum annuum. RNAcentral describes it as "long non-coding RNA (CANN_LNC003300)". Lineage: Eukaryota; Viridiplantae; Streptophyta; Magnoliopsida; Solanales; Solanaceae. The record is from RNAcentral.
UAAGAAGUCUACAACAAAAGUUUUUUCACACGGCAUAUUUACUUAUUUACAUUUGCCUUUUAGGAAACAAAAAAAGUGAAAUGCUAAAUAUCCUACAGAUAAACAGCCUUCAAAAAGGACUUGGCAAAAAUGAAGGGGCUAGGGUCAGAUCUGACGUAGUAAACCUGAAUGAGGAAUCCAUCACCAUAUGGCAGAAGUGUGAAGCUUCCCAAGCACUUCACUAAGUUUUCUACCUUCAGGAAAGUAUUAAUCAGAAGAGAAAUAUGAAUCAAAUAGAAGGGAGUCCUUUUAAUCACCUAGUGAGGGAUCCCUACAAACUUGAACAAGCACCCUCAGCAAAAAGUAAUAUCACAUCCAUCCACCAACCACCGAGCACAGCUGAAAUAAGAUAUGAUUAGUAUAGAGAGUGGUUUAUACAUAGGAACAAGCUAAGGAAGUACUUACUUUUGAAAUCUUUUUUAAAAAUCAUGAAAGAAUUGAUGGGCAAAGUGUUGAUAAUCCAAAGGAGAAGGAGGACCAACUAGAAGUUGAGCUACAGUGAAAAGAUCGGGAAGGUGUUACAAG